RNAcentral lists this ribosomal RNA (425 nucleotides) under uncultured Gammaproteobacteria bacterium. RNAcentral describes it as "bacterial SSU rRNA". It matches the Rfam family "Bacterial small subunit ribosomal RNA", at positions 356 to 774 of the family's 1533-position model. The record is from RNAcentral. Lineage: Bacteria; Pseudomonadati; Pseudomonadota; Gammaproteobacteria.
GGGGAAUAUUGCACAAUGGGGGACACCCUGAUGCAGCCAUGCCGAGUGUGUGAAGAAGGCCUUCGGGUUGUAAAGCACUUUCAGUCAGGAGGAAGAUGGUGUAGCUAAUAUCUGCACCAAUUGACGUUACUGACAGAAGAAGCACCGGCUAACUCCGUGCCAGCAGCCGCGGUAAUACGGAGGGUGGAGCGUGAAUCGGAAUUACUGGGCGUAAAGCGUGCGCAGGCGGUUUGUUAAGCGAGAUGUGAAAGCCCCGGGCUCAACCUGGGAUGGUCAUUUCGAACUGGCAAUCUAGAGUCUCGUAGAGGGGGGUAGAAUUCCAGGUGUAGCGGUGAAAUGCGUAGAGAUCUGGAGGAAUACCGGUGGCGAAGGCGGCCCCCUGGACGAAGACUGACGCUCAGGCACGAAAGCGUGGGGAGCAAACA